GUUAAUGGUGCUGAUUCUCCAAGGAGGGAGAUUGCUAGUAAAGUGGCUGGAAUGGCGAACCCGAGCACAAGGAGAUGAGAAAUGAGGACAAAUUGCAACCUGUACGGAACAGGAGGUUAAAGGUGCUGAUUCUCCAAGGAGGGAGAUUGCUAGUAAAGCGGCUGGAAUGGCGAACCCGAGCACAAGGAGAUGAGAAAUGAGGACAAAUUGCAACCUGUACGGAACAGGAGGUUAAUGGUGCUGAUUCUCCAAGGAGGGAGAUUGCUAGUAAAGCGGCUGGAAUGGCGAACCCGAGCACAAGGAGAUGAGAAAUGAGGACAAAUUGCAACCUGUACGGAACAGGAGGUUAAAGGUGCUGAUUCUCCAAGGAGGGAGAUUGCUAGUAAAGCGGCUGGAAUGGUGAACCCGAGC
Balaenoptera acutorostrata (minke whale) is the source of this 411-nucleotide long non-coding RNA. RefSeq lists it as uncharacterized. NCBI's taxonomy places the organism in Eukaryota, Metazoa, Chordata, Mammalia, Artiodactyla, Balaenopteridae. The transcript has 4 exons. The record is from RefSeq and is a predicted model, not a curated record.